This 566-nucleotide long non-coding RNA is filed under the name Nicotiana benthamiana. RNAcentral's name for it is "long non-coding RNA (NBEN_LNC013070)". Lineage: Eukaryota; Viridiplantae; Streptophyta; Magnoliopsida; Solanales; Solanaceae. The record is from RNAcentral.
UAUGCAUAAUAUUUUACAGAUUUUAAGUAGCUUUUCAUGAACUUCAUAUUUUCCAGAACAAGUAAAUGCUACAUAAGUUAUGUAGAAAAUUGAAAAUGUUGCAUGAGUUAUACCAAAGUUAAAAUUUGAGUUCUUACCAGCGUUGCUUUCAGUAGAUUUUCAAUUGAGAAGCCCGGUGUACUGGAAUGUAAGGCUAUUAUAGGAGUCAUUUGAUAAAAGCUUUUGAGAAAGAAGCAGUGUAGCAAUCCAACUAGGGCUCGGUAGUGUUAUUAUCAAUGAUUUAUUUGAAGAUGCAAACUAUGAAGUAAAAAAAUAAAGGCAACCAUCUCUAGCGUUGAAGAUGCAAACUAUGAAGUAAAAAAAAAAAAAGGCAACCAUCUCUAGCAGCAUUCUUGCACAGUAAGUAGUUCAUGUGACUAAGCAACUAUUCUAUCAUAACAAAGACUGUUUAAUACCUAAAUUGACAUCUUACUUGUCCCGGUCUGCAAAGACGGCCGGCGACUCCCUGUUUCCCAUUUAAAGACCUCCUUGUAAAAAACACAUAUUUUAAACACCUUCAACCAUUG